GGUUGUGGCUCAGAGGUAGAGCACUUGCUUCGCAAGCAUGAGGCCCUGGGUUCAAUCCUCAGCACCA
RNAcentral lists this transfer RNA (67 nucleotides) under Marmota monax (woodchuck). RNAcentral describes it as "tRNA.Ala". It matches the Rfam family "tRNA". Rfam says of the family: Transfer RNA (tRNA) molecules are approximately 80 nucleotides in length. Their secondary structure includes four short double-helical elements and three loops (D, anti-codon, and T loops). Further hydrogen bonds mediate the characteristic L-shaped molecular structure. tRNAs have two regions of fundamental functional importance: the anti-codon, which is responsible for specific mRNA codon recognition, and the 3' end, to which the tRNAs corresponding amino acid is attached (by aminoacyl-tRNA synthetases). tRNAs cope with the degeneracy of the genetic code in two manners: having more than one tRNA (with a specific anti-codon) for a particular amino acid; and 'wobble' base-pairing, i.e. permitting non-standard base-pairing at the 3rd anti-codon position. Lineage: Eukaryota; Metazoa; Chordata; Mammalia; Rodentia; Sciuridae. The record is from RNAcentral.